GUCUACGGCCACGCCACCCUGAACAUGCCCGAUGUCUCAUCUCGGAAGCUAAGCAGGGUCGGGCCUGGUUAGUACUUGGACGGGAGACCACUUAGGAAGACCAGGUGCUGUAGUCA
Non-coding RNA from Pteropus alecto (black flying fox), 116 nucleotides. The record is from Rfam. NCBI's taxonomy places the organism in Eukaryota, Metazoa, Chordata, Mammalia, Chiroptera, Pteropodidae.